Molecule: long non-coding RNA, 184 nt
Organism: Protobothrops mucrosquamatus (brown spotted pit viper)
Lineage: Eukaryota; Metazoa; Chordata; Lepidosauria; Squamata; Viperidae
Exons: 3
Source: RefSeq, a predicted model, not a curated record
AGAUGUGGCAGGCUGGAAAGAGACAAGCCUCAAAAGCCUUCAACCUCUAUGCUAAUAUUGAUAUCCUCCGGCCCUACUUUGACGUUGAGCCAAACCAAGUUCGGAACAGAUUGCUGGAAUCCAUGAUACCUGUCAAGAUGAUCAAUUUCCCCCAGAAGAUAGCUGGUGAGCUUUAUGGUCCUCU